GACGAACGCUGGCGGCGUGCUUAACACAUGCAAGUCGUACGGUAAGGCCCUUUCGGGGGUACACGAGUGGCGAACGGGUGAGUAACACGUGAGUAACCUGCCCACAACUUUGGGAUAACGCUAGGAAACUGGUGCUAAUACUGGAUAUGUGCUCCUGCUGCAUAGUGGGGGUUGGAAAGCUCCGGCGGUUGUGGAUGGACUCGCGGCCUAUCAGCUUGUUGGUGGGGUAGUGGCCUACCAAGGCGGCGACGGGUAGCCGGCCUGAGAGGGUGACCGGCCACAUUGGGACUGAGAUACGGCCCAGACUCCUACGGGAGGCAGCAGUGGGGAAUAUUGCACAAGGGGCGCAAGCCUGAUGCAGCAACGCCGCGUGCGGGAUGACGGCCUUCGGGUUGUAAACCGCUUUCAGCAGGGACGAAGCUUUUUGUGACGGUACCUGCAGAAGAAGCACCGGCUAACUACGUG
Molecule: ribosomal RNA, 465 nt
Filed under: uncultured bacterium
Lineage: Bacteria
Description: partial 16S ribosomal RNA
Rfam family: Bacterial small subunit ribosomal RNA
Source: RNAcentral